Molecule: ribosomal RNA, 492 nt
Filed under: uncultured bacterium
Lineage: Bacteria
Description: partial 16S ribosomal RNA
Rfam family: Bacterial small subunit ribosomal RNA
Source: RNAcentral
AGUGAACGCUGGCGGUAGGCCUAACACAUGCAAGUCGAGCGGAAGGACGGUAAGAGCUUGUUUUUACGGGUAGCGGGUGGCGGAUGGGUGAGGAGUGCAUAGCCAUCUUAUUUUUCGUGGAGGAUUACGGAGGGAAAGUUAUGAUACUACCUCAUAUGAUCUACGGGUUUAUGCAGAAGUUCUUCACGGUUUGCGCGAUUGAUUUAGCCGAUGUCGCAUUAGCUAGUUGGAGUGGUAAGGGCCCACCAAGGCAACGAUACGUAGCUGGUCUGAGAGGAUGAUCAGCCACACUGGAACUGAGACACGGUCCAGACUCCUACGGGAGGCAGCAGUAGGGAAUAUUGGGCAAUGGGCGAAAGCCUGAUCCAGCCAUACCGCGUGGGUGAAGAAGGCCUUCGGGUUGUAAAGCCCUGUUGUUGGGAAAGAAAAGCUGCAGAUUAAUACGCCGCUGUUCUGACGGUACCCAAAGAAAAAGCACCGGCUAACUUCGUG